CAGCAGCCGCGGUAAUACGAAGGGUGCAAGCGUUACUCGGAAUUACUGGGCGUAAAGCGCACGUAGGCGGCUCGGUAAGUUAGAGGUGAAAGCCCGGAGCUCAACUCCGGAAUUGCCUUUAAGACUGCCGAGCUAGUAGGUGAGAGAGGUAAGUGGAAUUCCGAGUAUAGAGGUGAAAUUCGUAGAUAUUCGGAAGAACACCAGUGGCGAAGGCGGCUUACUGGCUCAUUCUAGACGCUGAGGUGCGAAAGCGUGGGGAGCAAACAGGAUUAGAUACCCCAGUAGUCCCUGUCUCUUAUAC
Molecule: ribosomal RNA, 301 nt
Filed under: uncultured bacterium
Lineage: Bacteria
Description: partial 16S ribosomal RNA
Rfam family: Bacterial small subunit ribosomal RNA
Source: RNAcentral